Schizosaccharomyces pombe (fission yeast) is the source of this 105-nucleotide non-coding RNA. The record is from the annotation of a GenBank genome assembly. Lineage: Eukaryota; Fungi; Ascomycota; Schizosaccharomycetes; Schizosaccharomycetales; Schizosaccharomycetaceae.
AUGAUCGCUAUGAAAUUGUUGUUCUUUUAACCAAAAAAGAGAAGCUAGAAUUAUUAUAAUACAACUUGAUAAAACCUUUUUUCAUCUGUCCAAAAAAAUUUUUUU